UGUGGCCUUGAAUUCCAUACAGCACAA
RNAcentral lists this non-coding RNA (27 nucleotides) under Rattus norvegicus (Norway rat). Lineage: Eukaryota; Metazoa; Chordata; Mammalia; Rodentia; Muridae. The record is from RNAcentral.